AAAAAAGGUAAGCUACUAAGAGCGAAUGGUGGAUGCCUUGACUGGUAAAGGCGAUGAAGGACGUACUAGACUGCGAUAAGCUACGGGGAGCUGUCAAGAAGCUUUGAUCCGUAGAUUUCCGAAUGGGGCAACCCAAUGUAUAGAGAUAUACAUUACCUAUAUAGGAGCGAACGAGGGGAAUUGAAACAUCUUAGUACCCUCAGGAAAAGAAAUCAAUAGAGAUUGCGUCAGUAGCGGCGAGCGAAAGCGCAAGAGGGCAAACCCAGUGCUUGCACUGGGGGUUGUAGGACUGCAAUGUGCAAGAGGUAAGUUUAGCAGAACAUUCUGGAAAGUAUAACCAUAGAGGGUGAUAGUCCCGUAUGCGAAAAACAAACCUUAGCUAGCAGUAUCCUGAGUAGGGCGGGACACGAGGAAUCCUGUCUGAAUCCGGGUCGACCACGAUCCAACCCUAAAUACUAAUACCAGAUCGAUAGUGCACAAGUACCGUGAGGGAAAGGUGAAAAGAACUGAGGUGAUCAGAGUGAAAUAGAACCUGAAACCAUUUGCUUACAAUCAUUCAGAGCCCUAUGUAGCAAUACAGGGUGAUGGACUGCCUUUUGCAUAAUGAGCCUGCGAGUUGUGGUGUCUGGCAAGGUUAAGCAAACGCGAAGCCGUAGCGAAAGCGAGUCUGAAUAGGGCGCUUAGUCAGAUGCUGCAGACCCGAAACGAAGUGAUCUAUCCAUGAGCAAGUUGAAGCUAGUGUAAGAACUAGUGGAGGACUGAACCCAUAGGCGUUGAAAAGCCCCGGGAUGACUUGUGGAUAGGGGUGAAAGGCCAAUCAAACUUCGUGAUAGCUGGUUCUCUCCGAAAUAUAUUUAGGUAUAGCGUUGUGUCGUAAUAUAAGGGGGUAGAGCACUGAAUGGGCUAGGGCAUACACCAAUGUACCAAACCCUAUCAAACUCCGAAUACCUUAUAUGUAAUCACAGCAGUCAGGCGGCGAGUGAUAAAAUCCGUCGUCAAGAGGGAAACAACCCAGACUACCAGCUAAGGUCCCUAAAUCUUACUUAAGUGGAAAACGAUGUGAAGUUACUUAAACAACCAGGAGGUUGGCUUAGAAGCAGCCAUCCUUUAAAGAAAGCGUAAUAGCUCACUGGUCUAGUGAUUUUGCGCGGAAAAUAUAACGGGGCUAAAGUAAGUACCGAAGCUGUAGACUUGCACACAACUUAGAUUAUUUAAGUUUAGAAUAUGAGAAACUAAGUUAUAUGUUUAGUUAUAUUUUUACUGAUUUUUAUAGAGUAAAGAUAGAAAUAAAACUUAGUAAAAUCAGUAAAAAUAUUCUUAGACUAAAGUUAAGUAGUUUAAGUUGUGUGCAAGUGGUAGGAGAGCGUUCUAUUUGCGUCGAAGGUAUACCGGUAAGGAGUGCUGGAGCGAAUAGAAGUGAGCAUGCA
Molecule: ribosomal RNA, 1427 nt
Filed under: Campylobacter jejuni
Lineage: Bacteria; Pseudomonadati; Campylobacterota; Epsilonproteobacteria; Campylobacterales; Campylobacteraceae
Description: partial 23S ribosomal RNA
Rfam family: Bacterial large subunit ribosomal RNA
Source: RNAcentral